Molecule: long non-coding RNA, 3321 nt
Filed under: Nicotiana tabacum (common tobacco)
Lineage: Eukaryota; Viridiplantae; Streptophyta; Magnoliopsida; Solanales; Solanaceae
Description: long non-coding RNA (NTAB_LNC008283)
Source: RNAcentral
UUUUUUUUGGUUUUUCAAAUACAAAAUGGGAAGUAAUAUCACAAAAGAAUCGAUAUUACUGUACAAGACCAGAAAGUAAAAGACAACAUGAAUGACAGACUCAAAACAUAAAAGUAUCUAUAAGCAGCUCCUAAAUGCAGUGGUCCUGGGUAUUUGUCAUGCUUGAGAUCUGGUACAUUGAUCCACACCUGAAUGAGAAAAAUAAGACCAAAUAGAUCGGUGACUCAAGGCACUAUGCGACGCCACAACACCUCCUACUGGACACAUGCAAGACAUAAUCGGGCUACUUUUGCAAAAUUAACCUAUGUGGCAAAGGAUGACUAGAAGUGUAUAUUCAACAAGAUUGACCUCAAAGAUAUGGAAAUACCUCGCUAAAGCUUAUAUGGAUUCAACUCCUAAUAAUCAUGGCCCAAAAUAAUUUGCAGAAAUGAUCCAUUUUGCAAAACGGCCGAUAUGGCCAGAAAUGGCUAAAGAUGCAAACUCAAUAAGGACGGACGUUAAAGUAAUAUGACACCUAGUUGUGGACUUAAGAUCCUAAGACAUGAGUUAUUGAACCACUUUUGCGAAAAUGACCCCAUUUUACAAGAAUGACCGAUGUGACCAAAAGUGGCUAGAUAUGCAAGAUUUGGCUAAGACCCCGCAAAGCCAAGAAUCUAAAACUUACUAAGAAGACCGGACCCUAUGUGGGCUGCCGACGUAUUCCGCCCCGAAAGACGAGAAUCAGGUAUGCGUAGUUCGGGAAGAUUGGAUAUGGGAGAAAGCUUAAAAAUGACACUAAUUUGGAAAAAAUAUAUUUUUUGUCUUUUUCUUUUAAAAAAAAUGAUGAAAAAUAUAAAAUCUUUUUUGAUUUUCUUUUUCUCAUUUUUUUUGAAUUUUUGAAAAAUGAUGGAAAAUGUAAAAAAAAAUUGGAUUUUCUUUUUCAAUUUUUUUUUUGUUUUUUUUCUCGAAAAAGUUGUGAAAGAAAACUAUAACUAGGCCCUACUUGCUUCAUUUUUCACCCUUCUUUCCCAAACAUUGAUCCGCCAAAUGACUUUUUUACCCUCAAAGAUGCAACAUGUAUCACAUAGGGAUGAUUAAAUGUCUUUUUGGGCCACGGGCCCAUUUUGACAAAAUUUGGAUAAGCUUCCUACAAAGGGAUACGGUACCUGGGACCGAGCCCUACUAGGUCUAAAUGACAUGAUGCAAAUAAAAAUGAUCUAAAGGCUAACCUAAGUUUGUGGUUCACUAACAAGGCAAUUCGGGGGAGCGUAUGGUCGAUGGUGGCUGCUCAAGCUUUCCAUCCACUCCAUAAGUCCGACGGCCCCCCUCCUAAAUUAAGGGUUACUCAACAAAGAAUUCGUGCACGCGACGCGUACUCCGAGACUUGUUGCAAAAAGAAGACCCAUGGUUAUGCAAAUAAUGACAGUUUAUAAAGCAGUAACACAUUAAGAAAAGCGAUAAACAAAUAACCAACAAAACAAGGAAAUAAGACAAACAAAGCAAAUAAAGAAAACAAACACCUCAACCAAAUAUCCUAAAAGCCAACAAGAUCAAGUGUCAGCUCGAACCUGCAAGUCCCCAGCGGAGUCGCCAGAGAUGUCACACCAUUUUUUUUUACAAAACUCGCUAACCUCUCUAAAAUAAAUAAAAAUAUUUAGUAAAGCUCGAAAAAGGGGUUUUAAUUAAAAAGUGACAAAAUUUGUGUUCAAAAGGAAAUAACUCAGAGUCACCACCUGACAUUGGUUUCGGUGUGCCAGGUCACCAUUUUUUUUAAAAAUAAUUUUUCCUUUAAAACACUUUGGACUCCAAAACUAAGUCCGCACCAGAGAUUUGGGUAAGGGGUUCAUUUGACUCAGGGAGAAGGUGUUAAGCACUCCCCAAGUCCCGUGAAAGUCACGGUUGCGUACUCGGUCUAGUUGGCUUUUAAAAUAUUCAAGUUGAGGUAAAAUCACGGGAAAGCAAAAUAAACACACACGAGGCUCGAGGUCGUCCCCACCUAAUAAAAAGAAAAUAAAAAUGAAAAUGAAAAUGAAAAUAAAAAUAAAAAUAAAAAUACUACGAAUUCUAUUAUCGAUCUCCAAGUACAAAUACUUCGGGGCAUACCCCGGAAUAAAAUAUAUACAAAUCCUUCGGGGCAUUCCCCGGAUAAAUUUAACUAAAGGAACGACCUCUCGCCUCAAAACUAACAAAAAUCCUAAAGUUUGCCUACCCAGGUGCUACCGGACCUAAACAUGCUCUUAGCGAUUAAAUUCAUAAAUGGAUAAAGUAAAAGAAGCAAGAUUAUUUAAGCUCAAUUUCUUUCACAUUUUAAAAGCCAACCCCCUAUAACCCAUUUGCUCUAACAAUUCAUAUUACUAGAAUUUAUCCUACUUCAAUUCUUGAUUACUUUUCUGCCUAAAUAUUCUCUUAUCCAACAGAUACAAUUAGGAAUAAAGCCAACAGACAAACCAUAACUAAAUAUUUAUCAAAUGAAUUUCAAGUAAUAAGUAAACUAGGCACAAAUAAACAUAGUAGAGAAAUUAAUUAAAGUAAGUACUGAAAUAAUGUCAAAUUAGGAGGAGAAAGAGAAAUGGACCUCACUUAAGGUAGGAGCUUCUCCAAUUUUAAUUAAAAUUCCCAGCAAGAUGUACAACAAAUAAUCUGUCUCAAUUGAAUUGUGAUCGAACCACAACCGAAACUCGGAUCCACAACCUCGAACGACGAACUCACUAGGAACUCAACUGCAAGCUUUUGCCGAAACUCGGAUCUCUCAACCAAACCACAUUUCACUGCUUAGUGUCGAAUUAAUUUGAGGUCUAAGAGUUCUGAUUACUGAGGCAAAGCGUCGAGCAUGCGAACUGCAAACUUAUGAAAACCCUCAAAGCUGAGCACGGUGGAGGGUGGUGGCGGAGUUGGCGGCUGUCGUCGGUCAACAAGGAAAUGAAAAGAGAAUUGAAGUUUGAAAAGGAAGAUGACGUGUUUCAAUGUUUUUAAAAUAUCUAGUGGUCUGCUAGAAAUAAAAAGAAGAAAAAGUGGAGUCAGUUGUCAGCGAAUUCCUUAAUUUUGUCACUGUUUCAUCCCCCUCGUUUUCUCUAAGUUUUUUUUUCCAUUUCUUUGUGUCCGUCCCUUUUCUGUGUGCAUGUGUCCGGGUGUUCUUGUGUGAAGAUGGCUGCCUUCUUUUGUAAGGGAGAAAAAGAGGAUGUGAAGGUGCUCCCUCUCAAGAAUGAGGUUGAGAGCAUUUUAUACUAGGGUUUUCAAAAUGUAGUCUCUUUAUUAUUCAAGACAAAAAGAAAAUAUAUAAAAUAUAUAGCAAAUAUAGAAAGCAAAAUAAAGUAUGCAUUUUGAAUCUGUUCUUGGAAACAG